AUGAACGCUGGCGGCGUGCCUCAUACAUGCAAGUCGAGCGAACGGACGAGAAGCUUGCUUCUCUGAUGUUAGCGGCGGACGGGUGAGUAACACGUGGAUAACCUACCUAUAAGACUGGGAUAACUUCGGGAAACCGGAGCUAAUACCGGAUAAUAUUUUGAACCGCAUGGUUCAAAAGUGAAAGACGGUCUUGCUGUCACUUAUAGAUGGAUCCGCGCUGCAUUAGCUAGUUGGUAAGGUAACGGCUUACCAAGGCAACGAUGCAUAGCCGACCUGAGAGGGUGAUCGGCCAAACUGGAACUGAGACACGGUCCAGACUCCUACGGGAGGCAGCAGUAGGGAAUCUUCCGCAAUGGGCGAAAGCCUGACGGAGCAACGCCGCGUGAGUGAUGAAGGUCUUCGGAUCGUAAAACUCUGUUAUUAGGGAAGAACAUAUGUGUAAGUAACUGUGCACAUCUUGACGGUACCUAAUCAGAAAGCCACGGCUAACUACGUG
Molecule: ribosomal RNA, 496 nt
Filed under: uncultured bacterium
Lineage: Bacteria
Description: partial 16S ribosomal RNA
Rfam family: Bacterial small subunit ribosomal RNA
Source: RNAcentral